GCGAAAGUCUGCUUUACGUCCCCCGGUUUCCCUCCUCUCUCUCCAUCCGGCCGACAGGUGGGACCGUGGACCCCACCUGUCAGCUCCUCCUCCUACCUCUCGCCGGCCAACCCCAACCGCCAUUACCGGCCACGUCCCACCAAAUCCGGUGCCCUCCCGCUCGCGCCUUCGCGCCCAAACCAAGUAAAAUCGGUUCCUCACCACCUCCUCCACCAAAUCCCUCACUUUUCCCCAAUUUUUGGCGCCAAAUCGAGCCCCCACUUCGCCCACGAUGUCGCCCACGUCGCCGGCCGUUGCCGCCUCAAAUCCACCACGUCCGGCCACGAUUUCUCCUCCCCAAUCCUAUAAAAACGAUCCCCGGAGCAUCCUCUCUCUUUUCCCCUCCUCACCCGAGCCCGCCGCGCUCUCUCUCGCCCUCCCCACGCCGCUCCCGCGCGCCGCCGCUCGCCGUCGACUUCCAGCCGCGCGCCGUCGCCGCUCCAGACACCGCCGCGUUGCGCCGCCACCACCGUUAGCCUCGUUGUCCCGAGCUCCAUCCCGGCAUCCACUUUAUUUCCCAGAACCACUGCCGUGAUGCCGUGCCCGCGCGCAACCCGAGCCGCCGCCGCUUUUGCCGCCUCCAGCCGCCUCUUGCUGCAGCGCCCAGGCCAGCCGCGCCUCGUCCGCUGCACGGUCGUCGUCUUCCGCCGCUCCAACCCAUCCUCUAAGUUCGCCUGUCAAGGGCGACCCCGUCCGCCCUCCGUCCUCGCAAGCCGCCAUCGGGCAAUCGUCGUCGCCGUCAUCUUCCUCCGCGCCGGCCGCCGCUUCCGCGUGUAGUUCCCGUCGUUUCGGAAGUCCGCGGUCGCGAGGAAAAGAGUUCGGAAGA
Molecule: long non-coding RNA, 865 nt
Organism: Oryza sativa Japonica Group (Japanese rice)
Lineage: Eukaryota; Viridiplantae; Streptophyta; Magnoliopsida; Poales; Poaceae
Source: RefSeq, a predicted model, not a curated record